AGAGUUUGAUCAUGGCUCAGAGCGAACGCUGGCGGCAGGCUUAACACAUGCAAGUCGAGCGCCCCGCAAGGGGAGCGGCAGACGGGAGAGUAACACGUGGGAACGUGCCCUUCAGUUCGGAACAACCAAGGGAAACUUUGGCUAAUACCGAAUACGUCCGAAAGGAGAAAGAUUUAUCGCUGAAGGAUCGGCCCGCGUCU
RNAcentral lists this ribosomal RNA (200 nucleotides) under uncultured bacterium. RNAcentral describes it as "partial 16S ribosomal RNA". It matches the Rfam family "Bacterial small subunit ribosomal RNA", at positions 8 to 238 of the family's 1533-position model. The record is from RNAcentral.